UGGGGAAUUUUGGACAAUGGGCGAAAGCCUGAUCCAGCCAUGCCGCGUGAGUGAAGAAGGCCUUCGGGUUGUAAAGCUCUUUUAGUCGGAAAGAAAGAGUCGCAAUGAAUAAUUGUGAUUUAUGACGGUACCGACAGAAAAAGCACCGGCUAACUACGUGCCAGCAGCCGCGGUAAUACGUAGGGUGCGAGCGUUAAUCGGAAUUACUGGGCGUAAAGGGUGCGCAGGCGGUUUUGCAAGUCAGAUGUGAAAGCCCCGGGCUUAACCUGGGAAUUGCGUUUGAAACUACAAGGCUAGAGUGCAGCAGAGGGGGGUGGAAUUCCAUGUGUAGCAGUGAAAUGCGUAGAGAUGUGGAAGAACACCGAUGGCGAAGGCAGCUCCCUGGGUUGACACUGACGCUCAUGCACGAAAGCGUGGGGAGCAAACA
This 427-nucleotide ribosomal RNA is filed under the name uncultured beta proteobacterium. Its description in RNAcentral is "bacterial SSU rRNA". It matches the Rfam family "Bacterial small subunit ribosomal RNA", at positions 355 to 774 of the family's 1533-position model. Lineage: Bacteria; Pseudomonadati; Pseudomonadota; Betaproteobacteria. The record is from RNAcentral.